CUUCUAGAAAACCUGGCCAAUUGGAGGAGCUGGGUUUAGAUGGCCUGUGGAAAGAGACGGCGUAUUUGUUCUAAAAUAUUGGGUUGUCUGAUGAUGCUCCGCCACGAGCUUCUUUGAGAAGCCGAUGCUGUGGCCGAGAAAUUGCCCGGUUAUUUCGACGAAAUCAUGGAUUUCGGUACUGUGAAAUCCAAAUUGGAGAGAGGUGCGUACUCCAACGCUAAUGGCUUUGCUUAUGAGCCUUGUCGUCUCAAAUGCUUUAAGAUAUUAUCCGCUUGGGAGUAUUGAGCAUGCAGCAGCCAAGAAUCUCAGUGGUGUUUUUGAGACCAAGUGGAAAGAAGAUACGGAGAAAAAGCCAAAUGCUAUUUGUCCCCCUCUCCGCAGGGUUUGUUAGUGUCGCCCAAACAGAAACAGGGCAAGAGGUCUUUUACUUCUAGGGUUCUUCAAACUCAAGGGCUUGAGAUUCUCACCCAAUUGAUUCAACCGAAGAUGAUGACUUCGCCACCCUUGUUCAUCAUGCCAUGGAUCCGAUCAGGCCUCCCAUAAUCUUUCUCCAUGUAAGGCUAGCCGAAUUCAGUCACUUGAAGAUACGAUUUUCAGAUACAAUAUUGAAAGCAAACAAGAUAAUUAAGGGUCCACCUGAUAAUCCACCAAGCAGAAAAUUGAUGCAGUGUAAUAAGGAAUGGGGAUUGGCUUGCCGUACCAUUUUGAACAUGAAGAAGUCAAUGUAUUUUGACAACAAACAAUUUACAGGAUGUCAAACAAUUUGAGAUGCUGUGUGGCUGUGCCAGUGAAUAUCCUUUUCUACAGGUCCACCUUAGACUUCACUUAAGAAAUUGGGUGUAUGCCCUCAAGGAAGAUGAUGAGUUGGAAGGUCAGGAUGAGGAGGCUUUUGUGAAUGGAGAUUGGAAGGAAUGUGAGAUCCGCUGGGAGGAAGAAGGGGAUUGAGAGGAAGGCGUGAUUCAUUCAUGAAGGUAAGUGCCAUUGGCUCUGCUAUUUUGUUGUAGAUAUGUAUAUAUUUGGUUAGAGUUUCCACUUUGUUGUUGAUUAGCAAUUGAUGUGAUUCUGAAUUAAUUAAGCAAUUCUUUCCAAGUUGAAUGAUAUAUUGGCAACACCAGUUUCUGUUUCUGUUUGUUCUCUAAUGGUACUUUUGUUUAUUGUUCUAUAUGUUCUAUCUGUCCGAUUCCUUCCACUCAGUUUUCUAUUGCAAAGUAUAUCAUAGUUGAAUAUACUAGGUGGAUCUAGAAUAAGUUUAUGGAACCAUAAAAAGGUUUGUUUUUCGUAUAAAAGAUAAAAAGAACCUCUUUAACUGUAAUGUGCCCAAGUCUCCAGUGGAGCAGAGUUUCUAAAGGGGAUCAGAAACAGUUGUGCAUGUCUGAUUUAAUCCUGGAUAGCCAGACAGAUAUAUUGGCAACUUCACCAUAGUUGAAUAUACUCUAGUAGCUUUCACUUUCUUUUUAAUUACUGUUGAUCACCAGUACAAUUUUUGUAUUUCGCCAAAAUAUAUGAAAUUUUGAUCACCAGUUGUGUAGUAAAUAUAUCCAACCAUGGCAAGCUUUCAUCUUGCCUAGUUAUUCAUCUGUUAUUUCUUCUUAUAAAUAAAAGAUUAAAAAAUAACUCUCUUUUACUGUACUUUCUGAUGCCUAAUAUGUACUGGAGCAGAGUUUCUAAUGAGGAAAGACAGAUUUAAAUGCUCCGGCUCCUGCUAAUCAAAUUAUGUGUAUUCAAGUUUUUUUUUUUUUUUAAUUGAAUAAGGAAUGAUAAUAAUAGAUUUUAGCAUCUGUACAAACAAAUGAUUUCUUAUAAAAGAUGUUCAGUGUCUGUGCCCCUUUUGUUUUUUUUUUUUUUGGUGAAAACAUCUUCUUCCCACUUGUUUCUGGGUAAUAAAAGUUCUCGGCAGCUAGAAAUCAUAAGAUCUGCUUAACUUUCUAUCACAUUUGGUAGAGCCUGAUGGUUUUCUUUCCCUAUGAACUUGAACCAGAGUGCAAUUCCAAACUCCUGCUAAUCAAGUUGAUGCAUCUUUAAGUUAGUUUUGAUUAAAUAAGGAAUGAAAUGAUGAAUGCUUCUGAGUAUUUAGCAUUUGUACUAUCUCUUUGCGUCAAUAAUGUCAUAAUAUGAAGGAAAACUAUGGUGUGCGUGCCCACUCGUCUAAUCCCAGCAUUGGCAUUUGCUUCAGUAAAGUAACUCUGAUAAUCUGGUACCCCAUCUUAAUUUCUCCUCUAAAUUUAUGAAAUAACCCAAUUAGUGUUUUUUUUUUUUUUUUUUUUUUUUUGUCUUUUGUGGCUUAGAUUUCUCUCUCCUGUUUUUUGUUUCCAGGGGUCUCAUUUAUGUUGUUGUCACUAUAAUUAUGUCGUCAUAUGUCACUAUGGUUAUGUUGUCAUAUCAUAUGUCACAUAUGACAUUUCACUAUGGUUAUGCUUUAGAGUUUUAAGUUACAUGUUCUCUGCACGUAUCCAAAUUUCAUAUCAGUAUGAUUUUUCACUGAGAACUUGGGUUGAUGAAGAAGAGAGGUUAUAGUUUUUAGAGGAUACUAUCUGCAUCUUUUGAGAUCUUGAGAUAGUGUGAGCAUUAUUAUAGAUUAGAAUCCCUAGCAAGCAGCAUUGGGUUUUUAUUUAUUAUAUAGAGCUCUAGUUAGAGUUUAUUUAGUAUUGUAUUAUUUCUUCCCUUUAAGUCCUCUCAAUUUUUCUUUAAUUAUACUUUUCCUGGCUCUAUAGUUUCUAACUGUUUGAGGUUUCCAAGUGUUAUGUGUAUCAGAGUAGAAUACCUAGUAAGGUUGGCUUGGCACAUCAUAAUAUGACUAGUUUUACCCUUCUGCAGUUUAAUCUUCUGCUCUAAACGGGCUGUGAUUCAUGUUAAUUUGUUGCAUUAUGUACAACUUGAGUGCCCUAUUUUCUGAGAUAAAAUUCCAUCCGAUUUCUAAUUUCAUAUGGAUGAUUUAGAAUCUUGAUAUCAGUCACUCUCUUUUAAGAGCACCUUGUUUGUACAUGAAGUUUGUAUCUUCUGUUUGUGUGUGUGUAGUUUUCUUGUGGCUUUCCAGAUAGUCGAUGAAAUGCCUUUUCGAUAGGCUUCCAUGUAUGUAAUCACCAUUAAUUGUCCAUUUUUCGUUAAGUUGAGGAUUGCAACUUAUAAUGCGUGGUCACAUAUACAGUUCUGUAAUCUUAAUCUAUUCAGUUAUUCCAACGUUAUGCUUAACUCUCGUGUUUUAUUCAUUCAGUUUGAUAUAAUUUGGUGUCUUAUCAUUCUGAUGCAAAAAAUUUCUCUCAGCCUUGUCAUUAUGGGUAACAACACUGAGUUUCAAAGCGCAGUUGUUUGGCUUUCUGAAAAUUUAACGCUUGUCGAUGCAAGAGUUAAUCUUGUUGAG
RNAcentral lists this long non-coding RNA (3358 nucleotides) under Prunus dulcis (almond). RNAcentral's name for it is "sRNA ncRNA". The record is from RNAcentral. Lineage: Eukaryota; Viridiplantae; Streptophyta; Magnoliopsida; Rosales; Rosaceae.